CUUCUUUUUUAACCCCUCUCAUAACCCAGAACAGGCCGAUUUCAAUGGCUGGAAUACAUAGACACCUCUUAACUUUUUAGUAAAAAUUGUUUAGACGCCUCAACUAGGACCAUGACCUAUCUACCGCUCGAUUGAAGUUUGCAGCAUAGCAGAGUUGUGGAUUUAGUAUGCAGAUUAGUUAAAACAGGGUAAGAUGGCAAAAUGCUCAAACACUUGAGAAAAGAGGCAUCAUAUAGAUUCCUGGAGUAAGGUUAAGAAAUAUGAAUACCUUGUUGCUAAAAAACACCCGAUCGUACUUGUAGCGAUGUGCUGGAUACACCCAAGAAUUGCAGACGAAACGAACUUCACCAUGUCCGGGAAUAUCUUCUAAAGCAACGGUCUUCAGCUCUAGGGAGAAAAUGUAAAUUACCAGGAUCAGCAUGGACAUCACUAAUGAGCUCUAGGAUGACGCGUUUGCCAAAGAGCUCGUGCAUUCGAUCAAGGAAGGCAGAACCAGCAUCCUUGAAGUUCAAUACAUUUUUCUUCCUCAGUACAACUGUCCCCUUGAUCUUAAUGGAACUGGUUUGAUUGCUAGAAUUGCUUUCUAUUGGAACGUCAUGCUGCUUCCCGCAAACCAUUUCCAGCAUUUUCUCCAGUACCUCUGUACAACAUGGUGGAAAGAUCCCCAUUGAACAAAAUGGAGAUACAGAACAAGUCCUAAAGAUAUGUUUUUGAGUUGAAAUAAAGCAAAUGUAUCCUCUUUGUAUUAGUGCAACAACAGUGAUAGACUUUUGUGUACUAUUAUAGCUGCAGUAGACUUGUAUAUCGUUGGAAUCCCAACUUGGAUCAAUUGAGGCAUCCACGUUGGUGUUAAGAAAUUCUAAAUCUUAGCUGGACAAGUUUGACUUGAUCCUUCCUUGUAGAAAAAAAUAUGAUCCUGGUAAUAUAUUCACAGAGCUUGAAUGUGAUCAA
Nicotiana tabacum (common tobacco) is the source of this 951-nucleotide long non-coding RNA. RefSeq lists it as uncharacterized. The record is from RefSeq and is a predicted model, not a curated record. NCBI's taxonomy places the organism in Eukaryota, Viridiplantae, Streptophyta, Magnoliopsida, Solanales, Solanaceae.